RNAcentral lists this ribosomal RNA (254 nucleotides) under uncultured bacterium. Its description in RNAcentral is "partial 16S ribosomal RNA". It matches the Rfam family "Bacterial small subunit ribosomal RNA", at positions 524 to 776 of the family's 1533-position model. The record is from RNAcentral.
UACGUAGGGGGCGAGCGUUGUCCGGAUUUAUUGGGCGUAAAGAGCUCGUAGGCGGCUUGGCAAGUCGGGUGUGAAACCUCCAGGCUCAACCUGGAGACGCCACUCGAUACUGCUAUGGCUAGAGUCCGGUAGGGGACCACGGAAUUCCUGGUGUAGCGGUGAAAUGCGCAGAUAUCAGGAGGAAUACCGAUGGCGAAGGCAGGUCUCUGGGCUGACACUGACGCUCAUGCACGAAAGCGUGGGGAGCAAACAGG